This 253-nucleotide ribosomal RNA is filed under the name uncultured bacterium. RNAcentral describes it as "partial 16S ribosomal RNA". It matches the Rfam family "Bacterial small subunit ribosomal RNA", at positions 524 to 776 of the family's 1533-position model. The record is from RNAcentral.
UACGGAGGGUGCAAGCGUUAAUCGGAAUUACUGGGCGUAAAGCGUGCGCAGGCGGUUUUGUAAGUCUGACGUGAAAGCCCCGGGCUCAACCUGGGAAUUGCGUUGGAGACUGCAAGGCUUGAAUCUGGCAGAGGGGGGUAGAAUUCCACGUGUAGCAGUGAAAUGCGUAGAGAUGUGGAGGAACACCGAUGGCGAAGGCAGCCCCCUGGGUCAAGAUUGACGCUCAUGCACGAAAGCGUGGGGAGCAAACAGG